AUGUUUGACGGAGUUGAGCUGAUGCUUCGGGGAGUCGAGUAUGUGCCAGGGCUAAGGAGGAAUCUGAUUUUGCUUGGUGUUCUUCAUGAUGGUUGUAUGGAGUUCCGUUGUGAUCGGGAUAAGAAGACCAUGAAAAUCAUGGAAGAUGGGGUGACCAUGAUGAUAGGAGAGAGGACGGCUUCGCAUCAUUACAAGUUGCAAGGAUGAACUAUUGCAGGUGGAGCCAUGGAGAGUGGAGCUGUAGGAGUAGCAGUGGAGUCCCAAGGUGGUGGCGGGUCUGGCCCGUCGGGUAGCUCUCAGUAA
This 303-nucleotide ribosomal RNA is filed under the name Triticum aestivum (bread wheat). Its description in RNAcentral is "partial small subunit ribosomal RNA". The record is from RNAcentral. Lineage: Eukaryota; Viridiplantae; Streptophyta; Magnoliopsida; Poales; Poaceae.